This 2787-nucleotide ribosomal RNA is filed under the name Escherichia coli. RNAcentral describes it as "bacterial LSU rRNA". It matches the Rfam family "Bacterial large subunit ribosomal RNA". Lineage: Bacteria; Pseudomonadati; Pseudomonadota; Gammaproteobacteria; Enterobacterales; Enterobacteriaceae. The record is from RNAcentral.
AGCGUACACGGUGGAUGCCCUGGCAGUCAGAGGCGAUGAAGGACGUGCUAAUCUGCGAUAAGCGUCGGUAAGGUGAUAUGAACCGUUAUAACCGGCGAUUUCCGAAUGGGGAAACCCAGUGUGAUUCGUCACACUAUCAUUAACUGAAUCCAUAGGUUAAUGAGGCGAACCGGGGGAACUGAAACAUCUAAGUACCCCGAGGAAAAGAAAUCAACCGAGAUUCCCCCAGUAGCGGCGAGCGAACGGGGAGCAGCCCAGAGCCUGAAUCAGUGUGUGUGUUAGUGGAAGCGUCUGGAAAGGCGCGCGAUACAGGGUGACAGCCCCGUACACAAAAAUGCACAUACUGUGAGCUCGAUGAGUAGGGCGGGACACGUGGUAUCCUGUCUGAAUAUGGGGGGACCAUCCUCCAAGGCUAAAUACUCCUGACUGACCGAUAGUGAACCAGUACCGUGAGGGAAAGGCGAAAAGAACCCCGGCGAGGGGAGUGAAAAAGAACCUGAAACCGUGUACGUACAAGCAGUGGGAGCACGCUUAGGCGUGUGACUGCGUACCUUUUGUAUAAUGGGUCAGCGACUUAUAUUCUGUAGCAAGGUUAACCGAAUAGGGGAGCCGAAGGGAAACCGAGUCUUAACUGGGCGUUAAGUUGCAGGGUAUAGACCCGAAACCCGGUGAUCUAGCCAUGGGCAGGUUGAAGGUUGGGUAACACUAACUGGAGGACCGAACCGACUAAUGUUGAAAAAUUAGCGGAUGACUUGUGGCUGGGGGUGAAAGGCCAAUCAAACCGGGAGAUAGCUGGUUCUCCCCGAAAGCUAUUUAGGUAGCGCCUCGUGAAUUCAUCUCCGGGGGUAGAGCACUGUUUCGGCAAGGGGGUCAUCCCGACUUACCAACCCGAUGCAAACUGCGAAUACCGGAGAAUGUUAUCACGGGAGACACACGGCGGGUGCUAACGUCCGUCGUGAAGAGGGAAACAACCCAGACCGCCAGCUAAGGUCCCAAAGUCAUGGUUAAGUGGGAAACGAUGUGGGAAGGCCCAGACAGCCAGGAUGUUGGCUUAGAAGCAGCCAUCAUUUAAAGAAAGCGUAAUAGCUCACUGGUCGAGUCGGCCUGCGCGGAAGAUGUAACGGGGCUAAACCAUGCACCGAAGCUGCGGCAGCGACGCUGAUGCGUUGUUGGGUAGGGGAGCGUUCUGUAAGCCUGCGAAGGUGUGCUGUGAGGCAUGCUGGAGGUAUCAGAAGUGCGAAUGCUGACAUAAGUAACGAUAAAGCGGGUGAAAAGCCCGCUCGCCGGAAGACCAAGGGUUCCUGUCCAACGUUAAUCGGGGCAGGGUGAGUCGACCCCUAAGGCGAGGCCGAAAGGCGUAGUCGAUGGGAAACAGGUUAAUAUUCCUGUACUUGGUGUUACUGCGAAGGGGGGACGGAGAAGGCUAUGUUGGCCGGGCGACGGUUGUCCCGGUUUAAGCGUGUAGGCUGGUUUUCCAGGCAAAUCCGGAAAAUCAAGGCUGAGGCGUGAUGACGAGGCACUACGGUGCUGAAGCAACAAAUGCCCUGCUUCCAGGAAAAGCCUCUAAGCAUCAGGUAACAUCAAAUCGUACCCCAAACCGACACAGGUGGUCAGGUAGAGAAUACCAAGGCGCUUGAGAGAACUCGGGUGAAGGAACUAGGCAAAAUGGUGCCGUAACUUCGGGAGAAGGCACGCUGAUAUGUAGGUGAAGUCCCUCGCGGAUGGAGCUGAAAUCAGUCGAAGAUACCAGCUGGCUGCAACUGUUUAUUAAAAACACAGCACUGUGCAAACACGAAAGUGGACGUAUACGGUGUGACGCCUGCCCGGUGCCGGAAGGUUAAUUGAUGGGGUCAGCGCAAGCGAAGCUCUUGAUCGAAGCCCCGGUAAACGGCGGCCGUAACUAUAACGGUCCUAAGGUAGCGAAAUUCCUUGUCGGGUAAGUUCCGACCUGCACGAAUGGCGUAAUGAUGGCCAGGCUGUCUCCACCCGAGACUCAGUGAAAUUGAACUCGCUGUGAAGAUGCAGUGUACCCGCGGCAAGACGGAAAGACCCCGUGAACCUUUACUAUAGCUUGACACUGAACAUUGAGCCUUGAUGUGUAGGAUAGGUGGGAGGCUUUGAAGUGUGGACGCCAGUCUGCAUGGAGCCGACCUUGAAAUACCACCCUUUAAUGUUUGAUGUUCUAACGUUGACCCGUAAUCCGGGUUGCGGACAGUGUCUGGUGGGUAGUUUGACUGGGGCGGUCUCCUCCUAAAGAGUAACGGAGGAGCACGAAGGUUGGCUAAUCCUGGUCGGACAUCAGGAGGUUAGUGCAAUGGCAUAAGCCAGCUUGACUGCGAGCGUGACGGCGCGAGCAGGUGCGAAAGCAGGUCAUAGUGAUCCGGUGGUUCUGAAUGGAAGGGCCAUCGCUCAACGGAUAAAAGGUACUCCGGGGAUAACAGGCUGAUACCGCCCAAGAGUUCAUAUCGACGGCGGUGUUUGGCACCUCGAUGUCGGCUCAUCACAUCCUGGGGCUGAAGUAGGUCCCAAGGGUAUGGCUGUUCGCCAUUUAAAGUGGUACGCGAGCUGGGUUUAGAACGUCGUGAGACAGUUCGGUCCCUAUCUGCCGUGGGCGCUGGAGAACUGAGGGGGGCUGCUCCUAGUACGAGAGGACCGGAGUGGACGCAUCACUGGUGUUCGGGUUGUCAUGCCAAUGGCACUGCCCGGUAGCUAAAUGCGGAAGAGAUAAGUGCUGAAAGCAUCUAAGCACGAAACUUGCCCCGAGAUGAGUUCUCCCUGACUCCUUGA